AUUGAACGCUGGCGGCAGGCUUGACACAUGCAAGUCGAGCGGGGUGAUGGUGCUUGCACUAUCACUUAGCGGCGGACGGGUGAGUAAUGCUUAGGAAUCUGCCUAUUAGUGGGGGACAACAUCUCGAAAGGGAUGCUAAUACCGCAUACGUCCUACGGGAGAAAGCAGGGGAUCACUUGUGACCUUGCGCUAAUAGAUGAGCCUAAGUCGGAUUAGCUAGUUGGUGGGGGAAAGGCCUACCAAGGCGACGAUCUGUAGCGGGUCUGAGAGGGUGAUCCGCCACACUGGGACUGAGACACGGCCCAGACUCCUACGGGAGGCAGCAGUGGGGAAUAUUGGACAAUGGGGGGAACCCUGAUCCAGCCAUGCCGCGUGUGUGAAGAAGGCCUUAUGGUUGUAAAGCACUUUAAGCGAGGAGGAGGCUCUUUUGGUUAAUACCCAAGAUGAGUGGACGUUACUCGCAGAAUAAGCACCGGUUAACUCUGUGCCAGCCGCCGCAGUAA
RNAcentral lists this ribosomal RNA (503 nucleotides) under uncultured bacterium. RNAcentral's name for it is "partial 16S ribosomal RNA". It matches the Rfam family "Bacterial small subunit ribosomal RNA", at positions 30 to 523 of the family's 1533-position model. The record is from RNAcentral.